Molecule: ribosomal RNA, 440 nt
Filed under: uncultured bacterium
Lineage: Bacteria
Description: partial 16S ribosomal RNA
Rfam family: Bacterial small subunit ribosomal RNA
Source: RNAcentral
CCUACGGGAGGCAGCAGUGGGGGAUAUUGCACAAUGGGGGAAACCCUGAUGCAGCGACGCCGCGUGGGUGAAGAAGCGCCUCGGCGCGUAAAGCCCUGUCAGCAGGGAAGAAAAUGACGGUAACUGAAGAAGAAGCCCCGGCUAACUACGUGCCAGCAGCCGCGGUAAUACGUAGGGGGCAAGCGUUAUUCGGCUUUACUGGGUGUAAAGGGGGCGCAGACGGCGAUGCAAGCCAGGAGUGAAAGCCCGGGGCCCAACCCCGGGACUGCUCUUGGAACUGCGUGGCUAGAGUGCAGGAGGGGCAGGCGGAAUUCCUGGUGUAGCGGUGAAAUGCGUAGAUAUCAGGAGGAACACCGGUGGCGAAGGCGGCCUGCUGGACUGCAACUGACGUUGAGGCCCGAAAGCGUGGGGAGCAAACAGGAUUAGAUACCCCAGUAGUC